Molecule: ribosomal RNA, 588 nt
Filed under: Caulobacteraceae bacterium
Lineage: Bacteria; Pseudomonadati; Pseudomonadota; Alphaproteobacteria; Caulobacterales; Caulobacteraceae
Description: bacterial SSU rRNA
Rfam family: Bacterial small subunit ribosomal RNA
Source: RNAcentral
UUCGGGGGAAAGAUUUAUCGCCUUUAGAGCGGCCCGCGUCUGAUUAGCUAGUUGGUGAGGUAAAGGCUCACCAAGGCGACGAUCAGUAGCUGGUCUGAGAGGAUGAUCAGCCACAUUGGGACUGAGACACGGCCCAAACUCCUACGGGAGGCAGCAGUGGGGAAUCUUGCGCAAUGGGCGAAAGCCUGACGCAGCCAUGCCGCGUGAAUGAUGAAGGUCUUAGGAUUGUAAAAUUCUUUCACCGGGGACGAUAAUGACGGUACCCGGAGAAGAAGCCCCGGCUAACUUCGUGCCAGCAGCCGCGGUAAUACGAAGGGGGCUAGCGUUGCUCGGAAUUACUGGGCGUAAAGGGAGCGUAGGCGGACAUUUAAGUCAGGGGUGAAAUCCCGGGGCUCAACCUCGGAAUUGCCUUUGAUACUGGGUGUCUUGAGUAUGAGAGAGGUGUGUGGAACUCCGAGUGUAGAGGUGAAAUUCGUAGAUAUUCGGAAGAACACCAGUGGCGAAGGCGACACACUGGCUCAUUACUGACGCUGAGGCUCGAAAGCGUGGGGAGCAAACAGGAUUAGAUACCCUGGUAGUCCACGCCGU